RNAcentral lists this ribosomal RNA (1355 nucleotides) under Staphylococcus aureus. Its description in RNAcentral is "partial 23S ribosomal RNA". It matches the Rfam family "Bacterial large subunit ribosomal RNA", at positions 841 to 2196 of the family's 2925-position model. Lineage: Bacteria; Bacillati; Bacillota; Bacilli; Caryophanales; Staphylococcaceae. The record is from RNAcentral.
GGAGAUAGCUGGUUCUCUCCGAAAUAGCUUUAGGGCUAGCCUCAAGUGAUGAUUAUUGGAGGUAGAGCACUGUUUGGACGAGGGGCCCCUCUCGGGUUACCGAAUUCAGACAAACUCCGAAUGCCAAUUAAUUUAACUUGGGAGUCAGAACAUGGGUGAUAAGGUCCGUGUUCGAAAGGGAAACAGCCCAGACCACCAGCUAAGGUCCCAAAAUAUAUGUUAAGUGGAAAAGGAUGUGGCGUUGCCCAGACAACUAGGAUGUUGGCUUAGAAGCAGCCAUCAUUUAAAGAGUGCGUAAUAGCUCACUAGUCGAGUGACACUGCGCCGAAAAUGUACCGGGGCUAAACAUAUUACCGAAGCUGUGGAUUGUCCUUUGGACAAUGGUAGGAGAGCGUUCUAAGGGCGUUGAAGCAUGAUCGUAAGGACAUGUGGAGCGCUUAGAAGUGAGAAUGCCGGUGUGAGUAGCGAAAGACGGGUGAGAAUCCCGUCCACCGAUUGACUAAGGUUUCCAGAGGAAGGCUCGUCCGCUCUGGGUUAGUCGGGUCCUAAGCUGAGGCCGACAGGCGUAGGCGAUGGAUAACAGGUUGAUAUUCCUGUACCACCUAUAAUCGUUUUAAUCGAUGGGGGGACGCAGUAGGAUAGGCGAAGCGUGCGAUUGGAUUGCACGUCUAAGCAGUAAGGCUGAGUAUUAGGCAAAUCCGGUACUCGUUAAGGCUGAGCUGUGAUGGGGAGAAGACAUUGUGUCUUCGAGUCGUUGAUUUCACACUGCCGAGAAAAGCCUCUAGAUAGAAAAUAGGUGCCCGUACCGCAAACCGACACAGGUAGUCAAGAUGAGAAUUCUAAGGUGAGCGAGCGAACUCUCGUUAAGGAACUCGGCAAAAUGACCCCGUAACUUCGGGAGAAGGGGUGCUCUUUAGGGUUAACGCCCAGAAGAGCCGCAGUGAAUAGGCCCAAGCGACUGUUUAUCAAAAACACAGGUCUCUGCUAAACCGUAAGGUGAUGUAUAGGGGCUGACGCCUGCCCGGUGCUGGAAGGUUAAGAGGAGUGGUUAGCUUCUGCGAAGCUACGAAUCGAAGCCCCAGUAAACGGCGGCCGUAACUAUAACGGUCCUAAGGUAGCGAAAUUCCUUGUCGGGUAAGUUCCGACCCGCACGAAAGGCGUAACGAUUUGGGCACUGUCUCAACGAGAGACUCGGUGAAAUCAUAGUACCUGUGAAGAUGCAGGUUACCCGCGACAGGACGGAAAGACCCCGUGGAGCUUUACUGUAGCCUGAUAUUGAAAUUCGGCACAGCUUGUACAGGAUAGGUAGGAGCCUUUGAAACGUGAGCGCUAGCUUACGUGGAGGCGCUGGUGGG